GUAGUCUCGCACAGAUGCAUAUCAAUAAGCGGAGAAAAAGAAACUAACAAGGAUUCCCCUAGUAACGGCGAGUGAAGCGGGAAGAGCUCAAAUUUGAAAUCUUAAAGGGUUUCCCUUUACGAAUUGUAGUUUAAAGAAGUGUUUUCUGUUGAGGUUUUGGUAAAAGUUCUUUGGAAUAGGACAUCAUAGAGGGUGAGAAUCCCGUAUUUGACCUUUACUUUCAACUUUGUGAUACACUUUCAAAGAGUCGGAUUGUUUGGGAAUGCAGUCCAAAAUGGGUGGUAAAUUUCAUCUAAAGCUAAAUAUUGGCGAGAGACCGAUAGCGAACAAGUACCGUGAGGGAAAGAUGAAAAGAACUUUGAAAAGAGAGUUAAACAGUACGUGAAAUUGUCAAAAGGGAAGCGUUUGACACCAGUGUUGUUUUUCUGAAAAUCAAUUAAAGAACUGUUUAGUGCUAAGUUGUUUAGACUUUAUCAGCUAUCUGUUUAGUUUUGAGCUUUUCUUUAAUGCACUUUUCAGUUAACAAGUCAACAUCAAUUUCUUUUGCUGUAAAAAAGCUUGAGGAAGGUGGCUUGAGAUUCGUCUUAAGUGUUUAUAGCCUCUUGCCUAUGCAGUCGGAGAGAUUGAGGUCUGCAGCGUAGAUCCUUCGGGGCUAAAUGCAUUUGUGCUAAGUUAUAGCAUUUCAUAGACAACUUGUUGACUAUGAUUUGUCUUGUAGCUUACUCGCUUAUGUUAUUUUACCUACGCUUAGGAUGUUGAUCUGUAGUGCGUGCGC
This 775-nucleotide ribosomal RNA is filed under the name uncultured Neocallimastigales. RNAcentral describes it as "partial large subunit ribosomal RNA". It matches the Rfam family "Eukaryotic large subunit ribosomal RNA", at positions 24 to 647 of the family's 3401-position model. The record is from RNAcentral. Lineage: Eukaryota; Fungi; Neocallimastigomycota; Neocallimastigomycetes; Neocallimastigales.